GCACAAGCGGCGGAGCAUGUGGAUUAAUUCGAUGCAACGCGAAGAACCUUACCUGGGUUUGACAUGCACCAGAUCGGCGUAGAGAUACGUCCUCCCUUGUGGUUGGUGCACAGGUGGUGCAUGGUUGUCGUCAGCUCGUGUCGUGAGAUGUUGGGUUAAGUCCCGCAACGAGCGCAACCCUUGUCUUAUGUUGCCAGCACAUCUUUGGUGGGGACUCAUGAGAAACUGCCGGGGUCAACUCGGAGGAAGGUGGGGAUGACGUCAAAUCAUCAUGCCCUUUAUACCCAGGGCUUCACACAUGCUACAAUGGUCGGUACAACGGGUUGCGACACUGUGAAGUGAAGCUAAUCUCUGAAAGCCGGCCUCAGUUCGGAUUGGGGUCUGCAACUCGACCCCAUGAAGUCGGAGUCGCUAGUAAU
This 419-nucleotide ribosomal RNA is filed under the name Corynebacterium durum. Its description in RNAcentral is "bacterial SSU rRNA". It matches the Rfam family "Bacterial small subunit ribosomal RNA", at positions 923 to 1342 of the family's 1533-position model. The record is from RNAcentral. Lineage: Bacteria; Bacillati; Actinomycetota; Actinomycetes; Mycobacteriales; Corynebacteriaceae.